UUCGCUAUAAUACUUGUCGAUAUAUAAACCAUGCCGAACAAUACAGAGAAGAUUAGCAUAGCCGCUGCGCAAGGAUGACACGUACUUCGUGAAGCGUUUCAAAUUCUU
This 108-nucleotide small nuclear RNA is filed under the name Mayetiola destructor (Hessian fly). The record is from RNAcentral. Lineage: Eukaryota; Metazoa; Arthropoda; Insecta; Diptera; Cecidomyiidae.